This 22453-nucleotide long non-coding RNA is filed under the name Nicotiana tabacum (common tobacco). Its description in RNAcentral is "long non-coding RNA (NTAB_LNC002905)". The record is from RNAcentral. Lineage: Eukaryota; Viridiplantae; Streptophyta; Magnoliopsida; Solanales; Solanaceae.
UCGAGUAGAAGCACCACUAGACACCACUGAGACCAACACCAGUAUCUGCACAAGAAGUGCAAAAGUGUAGCAUGAGUACAACCGACCCAAUGUACUUCGUAAGUGCCGAGUCUAACCCCGAUGAUGUAGUGACGAGGCUAUGUUAAGACACCUAUGUAAAUCAUGUACAGGUAUAUAGAUAAAGAUACAAAAUAACAGGACAAUUAAAAUAUUAAAUAGGAAGGAACAUGUAGAAAGGGGAGUAUGAUAAGAACGAAGGUAGGAAGCAAAUAAGGCACGACAACACCCUUCGAGCUUUUCACUCUUCCUCACCAAGCAACACUAAUCCAAAACAGCAAAACAAGGUAGGAAGCAAUUUCACUUCAAUCAUAGUGUAAUGAUAAUUAAACUCAACUUUCAAAAAUCCCAACAACUUCUUCAAAAUAAACAAUAGAUAUGAAACCGAACAAUUGAAAAAGUAAUAAUCUAACUACGACAUGGAAAGCAUAGUCAUUGAAACAACAUAGUACAAUAAAACAAUUUUCACCCACAUGCUUUAUCCCAAUAACGACGCAUAUAUUAGACCUUACAUAUACGUCGUCCAUACAUAUAAUUCACGUAGCAAAUAGACCAAGAAGUCCUAAUUUCCAUAAGUCAAGGUUAACCACAAUAUUUACCUCACUCCGCAACAAAGUUAAUCAACCAACCAUGGCCUUGCCUACUGAACAAGCCUCCAAACCAACCAAAUCUAACCAAUUGUCGAUCAAACAAUUCAAAAUAAGCUUUAGACACUAUUCACGAAGGGAAAAGGUUCAAUCUUUGAAGAAUUUUAAAAAGGCAACCCUAGGCCUGCUUGGUUAAAACCCGAGAUUCAGACCAAAAACCGGUUACCCAUUAACCCCCGAGCCUAGUUAAGUGAUUUGUUUUGAAAUCCAACCUCAAUUUCAGAUCUAAAUCUCAAUAUUUACAAAAUUUCCAAUUUCUACCCAAAUUCCUAAUUUCUACCAUGAAAAUCCUAGAUUUGAUAUUGAAAACACAUGAAAAGUAUUGGGUAAUUGAAAGAAAAUAGAUUAAAGUUGCAUACCAAUGAAUUUGGGAAGAAGAAACUCUUGAAAAAACACUUCUAGAGAGUUUAGGGUUGAGAAAUGGUAUAAAAUGGGCUAAGUCCCGAUUUCCCCCUCUUUUACCCAGAUGCGGAUGUCGCAAUUGCAAUUUCUUGUUCUCAAUUGCGACCAUCGCAAUUGCAAGAAAGAGGUCGCAAAUACGAACUGUGCCCCCAGCAUACUUUAGUCGCAAUUGCAACAAAACCAUCACAAAUGCUAUGUCGCAUCAAACCAAAAAAAGCGAACAAAGGUUCGCAUUUGCGAACCUGCCAAAGCCUAGUGCUCAGUCGCAAAUGCGACCAAGCCAUCGCAAAAGAUAAGUCUGGGAAUUCCGCAAUUGCGAACAUUUCUUCAUAAAUAUGAAAACUACCCUGCCCAGUCCCCUAUCGCAAUUGCGAGCUCAACUUCACAUAAGCGGAGUUUGCAUUUGGGAAGAGUUCAUCGCAAAUGUGAGACCUACAGCCCAAUACUAAAACUGAAGCACACCAGUAAGUGCCAACGGUCAAGUAAAGUCAACUAACAAGGUGAUAAUUUAAAACCUCAAAAACAAAUUAGAGGAUGCUAAAGGCAGUUGGCCAGAAGAGCUGCUGGGAGUAUUAUGGGCAUAUCGAACAACAAAAUCGAGCACAGUAGCAACGCCUUUUUCCCUUGUUUAUGGUACGGAAGCUUUGAUUCCGGUGGAGAUAGGUAAACUGAACAUGAGGUAUUCCAUGGCAAACAAGCAGGGGAAUGAUGAAGCAAUGUUGAUUAUGUUGGACUUGCUUGAGGAGCAUUGGAACUUGUCUUAUGUAUGAAUGGCAGCACAGAAGCAGAGGAUGAGAAGAUACUACAAUCGUAGAGUAAAUCUUUACUAUUUUAAAAUUGGAGAUUUGGUUUUAUGAAAGAUAACUCAUAAUACCCGGGAAGUCAAUGAUGGGAAGUUGGAACCGACCUGGGAAGGACAUUACCAGAUUUAGGUUAGCCUGUAAAUUCAAAGGUUAGAGUUGCAAAAGAUGAUUGUUAGCAAGUGUAAAGGUAAAAGAGAAGAAUGAGAUGAUACCUGAGCAACAAGAUGUAUGUUGUUGUUGAUUAAAUAUUCCGCGGAGAGACCGUACAUUUUUCUCCAGUCCUUAUCCGAAGCCAUAGGAUUCAAGAAGUUGGCUACUCUCACUGACGUGGAAAGCAAAUGGCAUUUAUUCAAAACAAAAAAGGUAACACUGCAUUUACCGUUAAGGUUCCAGAUGAAUGUCAGGAAGGCAUUUUCUAUGUUCCCUAGAUCAGGUGAUAAGGGGGAACACACAUCUUCCUCUUGUUCGGUUGGAACUAGUGGCGAGGCAGAGCUGGUGAUACAAGAGCUGGAGAUGGAAUAGAAGUUGAAGGAGCAUCAGAAGAGGAACCCUUCUAACCAAAGGCAAUAACUGGGGCCCGAAAGCGGGAUUCAACAUUCUCAACCAAGUCGAACUCAGUAAAGAAUCCUUCUACAUCCUCCGGUUGAGCUGAGGGAGUUCUUCUUUUUCUUCUUCUCUGAAGAGAAACCAUCAUCAUCUUCAAUAUCAUCUUUGUCAAGGACCACCGUGGCUGAUCCUUCUGGGAUCUCUUCUGUUACUGGAGGCUACUCCUUAGACCCAACCUUAUAAGUAUGCUUUCUUUUCGAUUUUUCCCUUGGGUUGGGGACUCAGAGAAGAUAUGCCUUCACCGGAAGCAAGAGAGGCAUCACGAGCCCUCUUCCAGUCAAGGUCCUCUUGAAUCCGUUGUUGGGCCACCUUCGGGUCAUGUGAAACAAUGAUGAUGGGACAAAUAGAAGAUCCAUCAGAAGGCCUACAUGUUGUUGAAAGAGGUCAAAAAUUAUCUAUUGCAUAGAGUUAAAAGUUAAUAAAGGAAUGGGGAAUUUUCUCUUACCAUGGUUCUUCGCCUUCUAGUUGAGCCUAAUUGAAAUUUCCUUCCACUUACGGGAGUCCGGUGUGAAAGUAUCUAGAAUUUGUUUGAACCCAUAGUGUUAGGUUCUCAUCUGCUGGAGGUACCCUACGGGUGGCUAAAAUGAGAGAAAAUGAAGUUUAGCAAGAGGGGAAUUUCCUUUAACAAAGUAAAAGAUGAAUAUUAAGAAAGUUUAGAGUGUAGUUUCAGGAUUUAGGAAUAGGAGAUGCAGACGCCGAUAAAAUAUCCCCGGGAGUGACAACAACAAACCUCUCCAUCCAACCACAUUCAUUAUCGUCAUCAACACUGGCGACGAUGGCAUCGUGAUCGUGUUUGCUGAGUUUGAUCAUGCCUCAACGGAAAAUCAUAGGGGCAUACAGGUUGAUCAUAUGAGCAAGUGUAACGGUUUCCUGAGCCCGGGAAUACAGGAAUCGAGAGGCAAGCCACCAUGUGCCAUAUUGCCGGUCCUACUUGAGCCAAACAAACAUGGUAGUUCCAGCAAAACUCCAAGAUGAUUGGGUCUAUUUCCUUGUCAAGUCCUAAAGUGAAAUGGUACGUGUAAACGUAAAUGUACCCUGGUUUGCUGAAAGUAAUCCUCUCCACUUCACUAGGGGCUGAAACCUCAAUAUUCUUCUAGUUACAAUCCUCUUCUACGACAGGUAUACUGACCGGACGAAUAGAAGAGGAAUAUUCACCAAUAACUAUAUUUUUGUCGUUGCCGGGGUCAGAAGAUUCCUUUUGAACAUCAAUAUCCAUUUUGCAAGAAAACUAAAAAGGAUGAUCAUGUUAGUAGAGGGAGAAACGACAUCGGGUUUCUUAGACUUGUUCUUCUUGGAUGGACCACGGCUGAAGCAAGUCCCUUUGUAAUCGGGGGGAAGAAAUAGCAGAAGACAUAGUGAUAGAAAGUAUGAAUUUGUAAAUUUUUACUAAAAAAAGGUGAGUUGCAGAAAAGCUGUAUGAAGACUCUAAGAAGAAAGCUUGUAAAAGUAAAAGAUGAAAGUGGUGAAAAGGGAAGAAGUUUAUAGGCGACAGAAUGCAAGGCCAUCAUUACCUAGGUAACUGGCAAACAUAAUUGUCGAAUCACGAGACAACACAUGUUCGAGUCAUUAAAAUCAAAGAGACGUGCGUCCUUUCAAAUGUUAGAAACCGUUCAAAAACUUUCCCGUAAAGAAAAAAGGUCUUAUUUAUUUCCCGAUCACAUCAAGUUGAGUCACCGAAAAGUAGGGAGAUUAUCUAUACGUAAAAUUAAUGAAUAACAGGUGGAUGUUCGUCGAGUUGACAUGUGGCAAUAAGGACAGGUAGGAUAUGAGUCAGCAAAUCGCUGACACUGGUUACAAGUAUGUGACCGAUAUUGUAUGAGUUCCGAAAAUAUCAAAACUGAAGGGAAGAAUUCGAAAGCAAGGUGCCGAUUAAAGAAGGCACCAUUAAAGGAGCAGCCUUUACAGAGAAUCCUAGCAUUUACACUCAACCGUUAUGCGGCUAUCAAGAGAGGUCUUUAUUUACCUUAAAAAGGAGCUUGAUUUGUGAAUUUUGUCUCCCCUAAUUUAGUUAUAAAUAUAGAAAUUUGUAGUCAUUUGAGGACCAAAAUACUUGUAUGAAAAAGGUUAAUAUUAUUCUCUUAUUUUGCUAAACAUUGUUCUAUUAGAAUUUAGUUCUUGAUAUUGUUCUUGUUUUCAGAGAAGUUCAAUUCAAGGCCCAGGCUUGUCUUUUAUUUAAGUAAUUUUAUUUUAUUCAAUUUUGUUCUUCAUUACUUUAUAUUCUUGUAUCAAUUUAAUUCACGUGUCUAUAAACCAUUUUACGAAUUCAACUGUACCGUUUUAUGGGUAAACAACUGGAACUUAAAAAACAAAAAAAAUCUGGAAUGACAAAAUACUACCCGAAGACAAAGACAAUGGGUGCUUAAGCACCCACGCUACUAAAUGUGAAUCCGCCCUCACUAAUACGAAGAGAAUAUGGACGUUAGAUUCCAAUCAUUUUCAACAUACAUGACGAGUAGAAUGGUACAACUGCACUAACACGGAAGUACAAUUUAUUACAGAUUUAUUUAGGUAGAUAGGUAAAAUAGCUAUAUAUAGGAGGAAGAAUUUUUUUCAUCCAUGGGUUUAACUUUUGUUUUUCCUGUAAUUAAACCAUCAACCUAGUCUUUCACCUCCUAUGGGGGGUAUGGGGGGAAGAGGGAAUUUGGGGUUUGGCAUGAACCUUACCUUAUUUAUUAAUAGCAAAAGAAAACUUAAUUAGCUCAGUUGGGGCGGAGGAUAUUAAGGAGAGAUUCACCCAAGGAUGGGCAGCAUCUGUUGAUGCAGCAAUCUGCAUAGAGAGGCCUAACAUUGCAGUAAGAGCAGCUGUUGGAGCAAAACUCAGAGCAAGACUCUGCAUUUCCAGUGUAGAAACAGACUACCAUGAGUACUAUUAUCAUCCAAAUUAUAACUAAAACAUUGUUAUUUUUCUUCACCAUGGCUCUCUCUCUCCCUCUAUAUUUCACUUCUUCUCUAUGUUUUACAUUGUUUUUGAAGGAUAUAUAUAUAGUACUUCUCAAGGAGAAAAAACACUAUUGUACUUCUUGGAAGAUCUAUUGAUAAAGCAAAUGUAACAUACCCAAUUCACAUAUAGAUAGUGGUUUUAAUUAAGGUUUUUAACAUUAAACUCAUUGUACAUUUAAAUAUUAGAUCAAAUUUUAAUUUUAGUUGUUAUAUACGUAUAUGUAUUUGUAUGUUCCGAUUUCUUGUCAAAUAUUGGGUUCAGUUGAAUUCAUUGUUCAAAAAUUUUAGCCGCCCUCAAGUCUUCCCUAUAGAGCCGCCUCUCAAGUCUCACCUAAUCCCAUCCGAUCUCUCGCCCCCCCCUACACACACAAAAAGAAAACACAUAAAAUAUGUUGACAAAUCUAUAUUAUAUUUCAUGAUUAAGACAAUAAUAGAAUUUCCUUUUCUGUUUUUGAUUUACUCAAGGACAAUAAUUGAGUUAAUAAAGUCCACAAAUAAUUGAGAGAGAGUGUUUGUUAUAAGUUAUUAUCCAAGAUAGCUACUAGCCUACUGCUUAACCAUUGGGCCCAGCAAUAGUUGUACAAGAGACUGAACUCUCAUAUUGUCCAAGUAAGCACUCUCCACGUUAGGCAUCCAGCAAAAUUGCUCUAGAUAGAAUUUGACUGAACUUUCUUUUCUGUUGUUGUUGUUUUUUCAAUGAAGGAAACCCAGAAAAUUAAUCUGAAAACAAUUUUAGCAUGUAUUUUACCUUUGAAAUUUAUCUGCGGUCCUUGAAAUAUUACUUCCUCAAUUCUAACAGAUGUCUGAAUAUGACUUUUAUUUCUAAAAACUAAAUUAACAAUUAAAAUUGUUAAUAUGUAAGAGGAACAUGUAGGGUCCUAUAACGAAACUCUCUCUCUGUAAGAGGCAUGCCAACAUACCGUUGAGACAAAGUUUCACUUCCACUCCCAUUUUGUAAUACGCAUUAGAAUUUAGAUUAAUUCCUUCGCUCUUUUUCCUACCACGUAGUUUGAAAACCAAUGUGUUUACCCUUAAAACGGAUAACAAUUAAAUUUGUAUGCAGUUUUAAGGAUAUGUGGAUUGAUUCAACGUAAAUAAUUAAGAAUAUUUGAUAAAUGAUUUAAAGACAAAAUAAAUAACCAAACCAGUUGCAAUGUUAUGGCGUAGCCCUAAUUUAGGUUGAACCGUAAUUUAACCCCGAUCGGUCCCUUGGUUUGAACUCAAUUGUGAAUGAAGAACAAAACAAUUAAGUAAGAGCUUUUACAAUAGCUAGAGAAUAGAGAAUGAAUUUGUAUUGCCUUGAGUUGCGAGUUACAAGGUAUGAUAUCAAAGAAAAACUUCCAUUUUAUAUAGUAGGAGAGUUUCAUACCUAGUACAAGUCUAAAAAGGACAAAAAUCCUCCUUCCUCGUUAAUUACUGAUCCGUAACCGACGUAGAUCUUGCCCGAUGUCGGUUACAGAUUAGUAACUAAUGAGGAAGGAGAAUUUUUACCUUUUUAGACUUGUAUUAGGGAUGAAACUCUCCUACUAUAUAAAUGAGAAGUUUUUCUUUGAUAACACACCUUGUAACUCGCAAAUCAAAGCAAUACAAAUUCAUUCUCUGCUUUCUAGGUAUUGUGAAAGCUCUUACUUAAUUGUUUUGUUCUUCAUUCUCAAUUGGUUUUGAACCAAGGGACCGAUCGAGGGCAAACUACUGUUCAACCUAGAUUCGGGCUAGGCCAUAACAUUGCAACUGAUUUGGUCAUUUAUUUUAUCUUUAAAUCAUUUAUCUAAUAUUCUUGAUUAUUUGUGUUGAAUCAAUCCACAUAUCCUUAAAACCGCGUACAAAUUUAAUUGUUAUAUGUUUUAAGGAUAAACAGUUUGAUACAAAUCUCCAUAACACACUCUAUUACGCUUGUUCUUUAAAGUCUUAAAUUUAGGUCAGUUUAAAAAUAUCAAAUUCGCAGUCUGCCUACUUGAACAUUGAUGUUGAGUCUGGCCAUCAUGGCGAAAAUAAUAAUCUAGUGCAUAGCAACGAGGUGCCUUCUGCUGAUACCAACGGAGUCUUAGUUGCCGAUCCGGUCUAUGCUAACUCAUAGGUGACCAUCGAUGUCAAUCUACGAACCGAUCCCGAAAAUAGCGUUGGUGAGGGACCCAGACCAAUAACUCGAGAAGCGCCCGAAGGCCAAGGCAAUGGGGUAAGCUUACAGUUAAUCUUCGAAACGUUGCAGGCUCAACAAGAGGCAAUAGCGCAGCUACAAAAUCAAAGUCACGCCCCCAAGAGGGUUGAGCCCGAGCAAUCCUGGGAGCAUUCAGACCGAAUGACUCUAUGAAAUUACUUCGAUACUUCCACAUAUUAUAGGUAAUGUAGGAGACAUCUCUAUUUUUCCCUCGGGGAAUUUUUAGAAUUCCCACUGCUUAACUUUUCAUCCGAAGAAAUGAACAGAUCACCGAGAGACCGGGUGAAGCUGAGUCCGGGGUCAAUCCCGAAAUAAUGAAAAUACUUGAAGCAUUAACAUAGAGGGUGGAGUCAGGUGAAAAGAAAAGUGAGGCCAAUGAAAAUAAGGUGGAAACAUACAAUUCUAGGGUCGAUCAAAUCCCGGGAGAAUCCCCGAUAUUGAAAGGGCCGGAUUCCAAGAAGUUUAUCCGAAAGCCUUUUCCUCCGAGAUUGUCACCGAAGCUGAUCCCAAAGAGGUUUCGUAUGCUUGAUAUCACAAAAUACAAGGGAACCACAGAUCCAAAUGAGCAUGUGACCUCCUAUACAUGCGCAAUCAAAGGGAACGACUAGGAGGAUGACGAAAUCGAGUCGGUGUUACUGAAACAGUUUGGGGAGGCUUUGUCCAAAUGAGCAAUAAUAUGGUAUCACAACUUACCCCCCAAAAUUCAUUGACUUGUUUUCUAUGCUUGCAAAUGCUUUUGUGAAGGGCCAUGCCGGGGCCUUCAAGGUCGAGACCAGAAAGUCAAACUUUUUCAAGGUUAAACAGAAAGACAACCAGAUGCUCACGGAGUUCGUGUCAAGAUUCCAGAUGGAAUGGAUGGACCUGUCUCCGAUCGCAGAUGAUUGGGCCGUUCAGGCAUUCACUCAGGGACUUCACCCCCGAAGCUCCUUGGCUUCAUAACUGCUAAAACAAAAUUUUCUAGAGUACCCAACGGUGACUUGGGCUAACGUCCACAACAUGUACCAGUCAAAAAUCAGGGUCGAGGGCGACCAACUCGGAGCCCCUUCUGGGUUUGUUUAUCCCAUCAAGGUCGACGACAGGUCCAAGAGAGCCGUUGAUCAUGAGUCAAGGCUGGUACGGGAUCGGUAUCAACCAUACAACACGGAUCGAAGAGGAAAUGGGUCCGGACGUCACCCCACAAGAAAUGAGAAGAGAAGCGAUCGAGGGCCCAAUACCCGUGGUUUGAUGAGUAAGAAUGGUUUUUACAAGCCACUCGGGGGUAGGAAAGCACCGAGAUUAUCAGAGUAUAACUUCAACGUUGAUACUGCCAGCAUCGUGUCAGCCAUCAGACGUAUCAAGAGACCAAGUGGCCCCAACCAUUGAGCUUUGACUCUACCCAAAGAGAUCGUAACUUGAUGUGUAAGUAUCACGGCACUCAUGGUCACCGGACGAAGGAUUGCCAAAAAUUGAGAGAAUAAGUUGUCUGGUUGUUCAACAAUGGGCACCUCCGAUAAUUUUUGAGUGAUCGAGCCAAAAACCACUUCGGGAAUAGGGAUGCCAACAAACAGGUUGAACAAGUAGAGCCUUAGCACGUCAUCAACAUGGUCAUUGGAGGGGUCGAUGUCCCCCAAGGGCCAAUGAUAAAGUGCACUAAAGUAUCUAUCACAAGGGAAAAAUGCACCCAAUAUUAUGUCCCGGAGGGAACCAUUUCAUUCGGCGACGAGGAUGUCGAGGGCAUUGUACAGCCUUACAAUGAUGCGCUGGUAAUAUUUGUACAUAUCAAUAAAUCACGAGUUAAAUGUGUGUUGAUUGAUCUAGGUAGCUCAGCCAACAUCAUCAGAUCAUGGGUCAUAUAGCAAUUGGGGUUAAAGGUCCAAAUAGUGCCGGCAAUCCGAGUGUUAAACGGAUUUAACAUGACAUGCGAAACCACUAAAGGGGAGAUAACCCUGUUGGUGAACAUCAUCGGGACGAUCCAAUAGACAAUGUUCUACGUGAUCGAAGGGGACAUAUGGUAUAACUCCCUAUUUGGAAGGCCGUGGGUUCACAACAUAAGGGCGGUACCCUCGACCUUGCACCAGGCAUUGAAAUUCCUUACGCCGGGAGGAGUCAAGAUGGUCUACAGAGAGCAGAUGUCUGCAAAGGAGAUCUUUGCAGUCGAUGAGGUAAUCACGGUGCCUGCGUUUUUGACAUCAAGGAAAACAAAGCCGACCAGAAAGAAAGAAAUUAAAUAGCAAUCACUGAUGUCGGUCUCGGCCGAACCAGAGGAAAGAGGAGUAGACGAGGAGGAUGAUUACGGAGUUCCAAGAUCGUUAUUAGCUCCUGAUGAUACCGACUCCACCAAAUCGACCGUCAAAGAGUUGGAGCAAGUCAUAUUAAACGAACACCUACCGGAUCGAAAGGUAUACUUGGGCACGGGGUUAACCCCCGAUCUCAGGAAAAAACUCAUCAAUUUUUUUAAAGCUAACAUAGACUGUUUUGCUUGGUCCCAUCUUGACAUAAUAGGGAUCCCGCCAUAGGUAACCACUCAUAAGCUGAGUUUGGACCCGAAGUUCCAUCCGAUUAAGCAGAAGAGGAGGCCGCAAUCUGAGGUCAAGCAUGCAUUCAUCAAGGACAAGUUAUCCAAACUCUUUAAAAUAGGGUCCAUCUAGGAAGUUAAAUACCCGGACAGGUUAGCUAAUGUUGUGGUAGUGCCUACAAAAGGGAAUAAGCUAAGAAUCUCUGUAGAUUACAAAGAUCUAAACAAUGCAUGCCCUAAGGAUUCUUUCCCUUUUCCUAACAUCGAUCGAAUGAUCGAUGCAACGGCUGGGCAUGAGAUACUCAGUUUACUCGAUGCCUAUUCCAGGUACAACCAAAUUCGGAUGGACCCGGAUGAUCAAGAAAAGACAUCUUUCAUCACUAAAUUUGGCACAUACUUCUAUAAUGUAAUGCCGUUUGGAUUAAAGAACACAGGUGCUGCUUAUCAACACUUAGUAAAUUGGAUGUUCGAAGAACAUAUAGGAAAAUUAAAUGACGUUUAUAUUGACAACAUGUUAGUCAAGUCCAUGCGAGCAGAGGACCAUUUGAAAUAUUUACAGGAGACCUUCGACAUACUAAAGAAAUACAAUAUGAAGCUGAAUCCAAAAAAGUGUGCAUUCGGGGUCGGAUCGGGAAUAUUCCUCGGUUUCAUGGUAUCCAAGCGAGGGAUCGAGAGCAACACCGACAAAAUCAAAGCCAUAGAGAACAUCAUCGUGGUGGACAACGUCAAGGCCGUUCAAAGGUUGAUCGGGCAUAUAGCCACCCUGCGCCAGUUCAUAUUGAGGUCCUCGAACAAAAGCCAUCGAUUCUUCUCACUAUUUUGGAAGAAAUCAAAUGGUACCUAUCAAGUCCGCCCCUGCUGCACACUUCGAAGACGGAUGAACAAUUGUACCUUUAAUUGGCAGUUUUCGAGGUGGCGGUAAGUGGAGUCUUAGUCCGAGAGGAAGAAGGUACGCAAUUUCCUAUUUACUAUGUCAAUAAAACUCUAGAUGAGGCCGAAUCAAGGUAUCCAUAUGUGGCGUGACCUCUUACCCGCUGAAGAACAUCAUGCACAAACCCUAGUUCUUGGGCUGGUUGGCCAAGUGGGCCAUCAAAAUUAGCGGGUACGAUAUUGAGUAUCGACCCCGAACCUCCAUAAAAUCUCAUAUUUUGGCAUACUUAGUGGCCAACUUUAUGCCGGGCUUAAUACCCGAAGUCUAAAGGGAAUUGUUGUUCACCUUGGGGACCACUUCAGGAAUUUGGACCCUUUUUACGCACGGUGCCUCGAAUGCGAAGGGGUCCGAGCUCGACAUCGCAUUAAAACUGUCUACGAGGAAUAUAAUUAGGGAAUCUGUUAGAACUGUGAAAUUGACUAACAAUGAGGCCGAGUAUGAGGCCAUGAUUGCAUGUCUAGAAUUGGCUAAAAUCCUUGGAGAUGAGGUGAUCGAAGUUUAGUGCGACUCCCUCCUCGUGGUAAAUCAAGUUAAUGGGACGUUCAAAGUAAAAUAAGCACAGAUGCGAAGGUACUUGGACAAAUUACAGGUAAUGCUGCAUCAAUUCAAGGAAUGGACCCUGCAACACACACUCUGAGAUCAGAACAGUGAGGCUGAUGCUCUGGCUAACUUGGGGUCAUCGGUCGAUGCCGAUGAAUUCAGUUUGGGAAUAGUAGUGCAACUAAUAAAAUCGGUGAUAGAAGAAGGCCACCUGAAGUAAACUCAACAAGUUUAACUUUGGAUUGGAGGAACAAAUACAUAGACUACUUGAGGACCGGAAAAUUGCCUACGGAUCCCAAAGAAUCGAGAGCAAUGCGCCUCAAGGCUGCCAGAUUUAGCUUGGUCAAAGGGGCAUUAUUUAGGAGAGCCUUCGACGGCCCGCUAGCCAGAUUCUUGGGACCGGGAAAGACCGAAUAUGCCUUGAGAGAAGUUCGCGAAGGCACUUGCGGGAACUAUUCGGGCAGAAUCUUUGGUUUAGAAGCUAAUUAGGGCCAGCUAUUAUUGGACAAAAAUGGAGAAAGAUGCGAAGGAAUUCAUACGGAAAUGCGACGACUGCUAGAGACAUGCCCCGAUGAUCCAUCAACCGAGAGAAAUGCUCCACUCGGUUCUGUCCCCGUGGUCAUUUAUGAAGUGGGGAAUGGACAUCGUCAGUCCUCUACCAUGGGCACCCGGUAAAGCUCAAUUCAUACUAUUUAUGAUCGAUUAUUUUCUAUAUGGGUCGAGGCUCUAGCAUUCAAAAAGGUCUGGGAGAAAGAAGUCAUUGAUUUAAUCUGGGACCACAUAACAUAUCGAUUUGGGAUACCGGCCGAAAUCGUUUGCCAUAAUGAGAAAUAAUUCGUCGGCAGCAAGGUAAUAAAUUUUUGAAGAUCACAAGAUUAAGAAGAUACUAUCAAUUCCUUAUCACCCUAGUGGGAAUGGGCAGGCAGAAUCAACAAACAAGACCAUACUUCAAAACCUGAAAAAGAUAUUGACCGGUGCGAAAGGGAAAUGGAAGGAGAUCCUGCCCGAAGUGCUGUGGGCAUACAGUACGACUUCAAAAUCUAGCAUCGGGGCCACCCCAGUUUCAUUGGUCUAUGGAGCCAAAGUCUUAAUGCCAGUCGAAGUGGGAGAACCAAGCCUCAGGUUCCAGUAUGUAACAGAAGAGCCAAACAAUGAGGCCAUGAUCACAAGCCUGGAACUGUUGGAUGAAAGGCGGGAGGCCGCCCUUGUCCGGUUGGCCGCCCUGGUCCAGUUGGCCGCCCAGAAAUAGUGAAUAGAAAGGUAUUACAACCGAAUAACCAACCUCUGACACUUUCAAGUCGGGGACUUGGUGUUGAGGAAAGUAUCAUAACACACCGGGGACUUGGACAAAGGGAAGCUGGGACCGAACUGUGAAGGACCGUAUUGAGUUGUCAGAAUUAACAUCAAAGGCUCGUAUAAACUUGAAGCGGGAAACGAUGUAAAACUACCGAAUAACUGGAACGUGACACACUUAAAACGGUACUACUGCUAAGCUACAAACUCAAUUACAUUUUAACCAUGUUAUAAAUCGGUUUAAGGUAUGUAGGUAGACGGUCGAGGACAGAUAUGGCUAUUAGGUCUGAAAGCACGUGCUGCACUCUUUUUCCCUUGAACGUGCUAACUUAGAUUCGAGGACCGGUUUCAAACCGGGGUCAAUGAUCGUUUGCUUCAGGUCAACAGUAUCCGAGCCCUCAUGAGUUCGACCUCGAAUAUGAGGGGCUAUUACCCUCUGAUUAAGCUCUUUAGCAAGGGAAAAAGAGAACUUUGUGUGCUAAAGGCUAAGGCUUGGUGGUUAGGAUUUAUUGUAAGGGCCAAACAGUCGUAUGAACCGUGCCCACAUAGUCCACUCUAGCCAUGGCACAAGUUUUUACACGCUUUAGAUCGUAUACCUUGCAUGCUAAGAAAUGGAAGAAAUUUCCACUUUGUUACUAUGCGUUUUUCCUUCUUCGAUCCCGAAUCCUAAAGCCCACGGGCUACCCCUACUCGGGGACUGUCAAUCCCAAGGGCUACCCCUACUCAGGCACUGUCAUGCCCACGGGCUACUGCCACCUCGAGGACUGUCGAGCCCAUGGGCUGCUCUUACUCGGGGACUGUUGCCCGAUGAAAAUUUGGAUGACACAGGCUACCAAAUCCCGAAGGCACCAAAAACCAUUAGGCGGUGCCCAAAUAUAAAAGGCUACGACCACCCUAAAAAUAGCUCAGAGGCGUCCGAAGUCCGUAACCAAAAAGUAAGGCCCUUACGAAAAUUCGAAACCUAUUAAAAAGUUACCCUCGGCAAAAACAUCGUCUAAAGACGCUUAAGCAUCUUGGAAACCUCCGGUCUCAUUGAGGGUUCGAAGCCACGAGCAAACAAAGUUGCAUCAAAGUUAGGCUUCGUUCGAACCCCCAAAAAAUGAAUGCCCCAGAACUACAUCUGAUUCUAUGCUAAGGCAUGCAAAACAAUACACGAAUAUAAAUUGCAAGAAGAUUCUGGAAAAGUAAGGACACAAUAUUGCCAGAAAGGGAAAAGUUUUAUAUAUAUUCCAAAAUAUAUUUACAAAGGCCCGAUAGAACGGACUCAAAAUAAAUAAAUAUAUAUAUAUAUAUAUAUAUAUAUAUAUAUAUAUACGCACACACAUAAGGAAAAUAAAAACUAAAAAAGUACUAAGGCAUCUACGCCUGGUCUUCAUCGGGGCCCAACUCGUCGUCAGGACCGUCGGAACCCUCGGAUCCCUCAGAGCCCUCGGAACCCUCGGAGCCUUCGGCACCCUCAGGUUCGUAGAGCUCCUUUUCUUCGGCCUUGAACCUCCUAGCUUCUUCGAUCUCGGCCGAUAAGUCAAAAGUUCAGGCAUGGAUUUCUUCGAGGGUUUCUCUCCAGGAUAGCCACUUUAUGUAUUCAGUCUUUGUCUUUAAAUGGGUCUCGGCUGCCUCCACAUCGGCCUUGUACUGGGCCACCAUUUCCUCGGUAUCAACAUAGGUCGCAUCUAGUUUGGACCUCAGUACAACAUAUUCUUGCCUAAGGGCAUCCCGUUCCGUAAUGACCGAUUUCAGAUGUGCUCAAAGAUCAUCAUUCAACUAAAACCACUUAUCGUCCUUGUCCUUCGCCAGCCAGAGUUAGUUCUUGACCGAUGCCAGCUCUGAUUUCGCAGCUUCCUUCUAUGAAGCCAGCAGGUUGAUAAGUGGGGAUUUUGACUACUUAUUAGCGUCUUUUAGCUUUUCUUUUAGUCUAAAAAUGUUUAAUUGUGUUCCCGAAACUGAUGAAAUGUGCAAAAUUUGAAGGAAUGUUGGAAGUCGGACUCACAAGAUGAAAUCCGACUAAAAAAGGAGUAAUUAAAACACAAGGCAAAAAAAGGCACAAUAGCUUGCAAAGUGCGGACCACAUAAUUCCAUUUGCGACCGUAAACAAUGAAGAAAAUCCCAACAAGGUUUCCUAGCAAACUGUGGACCGCACGGGAAUUAUGCGGCCGCAAAUAAAGAACUGGAGAUGAAUUUCAGAGGGUGUGCAAAUUACCAAACUCUAAGUCAAUCAAGAAUGCUGACCGCACAAGAAUUAUGCAGCCGCAGAAGGAGUGUCUUGCGGCUGCAGAAGUAAAGAUGCAGACCGCAGAAGACUAGGUUGUGGCCGCAGUGAUAAAUUUGCGGACCGUAGAAACGAUGCCUCACGGCCGUAGUGGAGAAUUGUGUGGCCGCAGAAUCCUAGCUCCUACAAAGAUGAUGACUUCUACGGACCGCACAUGGAAUUGUGCGGCCGCAGAACCUCCCGAAGGGCAUUUGUGUCAGAAAUUUCCAGCCAUGUAUAAAUAGACGAGUUUCACAAAAUUAGAUUAAUAUUUGACACCAGCAAGUCGUGUAGCCGUUUUUCUUUGCUUCUUUUAGUAGUUUUCUAUAUUUUGAGAUAUUUUAACAUAGAUUUUAUCAUUUUAACUUUCCAAUAUGAGUUUAAUUAGUAUUUCUUCUUCUAUUUCUUCAAUUUCAAGCAUGAGUAGCAAGAUUCUUAUUAGGGUUCUUACCCAACCCUAGUGUGUAAACCUUAUGUGUAUCUAAUUUAGUGCUCGUUUAUGAUUGGGUGUUUAUUAUUUAGCCUUGUUCAUGCUUUAAUUUGUGGAAUUAAUGGUUGAAAAUAUUAGUUCAUGCCUAAUUGACUUAGUCUCUACUUGAGAAAGAGAGACUUAGUCUAGGAAAACUUGGCUAACUAGAAAAUUGGGUCAAUCGAGAGAUUGAUCAACCCAAUUAAAGGGUUCAACCUAGAGAUAGUAAUAACCCAACUUGAGCUCUUAUCAACCAUUUUGUGUGAUACACAUUUGGACUUUAGAAAGCAAAAUUGGGCAAAACUACUCCUUGACCGAGAGGUACUGAGUGGGUAAUUGAGAGUUGAUAGCUAUAAUACACCCCGAUCAACAAAACAAGCAUUAAGGUUUAUAUCCCAUUAGGCGAACACCUAGGCAAUGGUCAUAACCCUGGGAUUUUUACAAACUUGAAAAAUGACAAAAAUAAUUAUCUUAGUUUUAUUUCUUAACUUUGCAAUCUUAGUUUUAAAAAAUAGAAACAUAAACAAAACCUAUUUGUGGAAGUGUAAAUUAAGAUAUUUCAAACUCACGUACUAGAAUAUAUACUCCUAACUCCCAUAUAAACUCCAUGUGGAUUCGAUCCCGACUCUUUGUUGGGUUACUAUUAUUGUAAUCGAACGUUUCAUAUCCUUGUUUUGAGGUGUGAUUUGGACGAGAUCAAUUUUUGGCGCCGUUGCCGGGGAGCUCAAAAUGGUGUUAGCUAUAUAUUUGAGUGUGUUUUUUGAAUAUAUUCUUUCUCUUCCAUGUUAUUAACGUGUUUGGAAAUUGUAGGUGCAACCAUGGCAAACAAUGAGCUCGGAAACUUUGCUUUAGUGGAUGUGGACGUUGAGGAUGAUCAAAUGGAUGAGGUUCCUCUUGAACCUCAAGCCAAUAGACGAGGCCGAGUGCCUCCAGACAAUGUGCCCGCUUCACCCUCACCUCCACCAAGAGCGGCUCCACACGGGUGUUGCCGAAUGAAGGAUAUGCAAGUGCAAUAGUUCCUUCCCGUAUUAGGGCGGACAAUUUUCAAAUAACCAACGUGAUGCUCACCUUGCUCGAGAAACGAGAGUUCUUCACCGGUGCUCCGGGUCAAAAUGCAUACAAACAUUUGAAGGGGUUCAUGGAUACGUGUUGGGGGAGUAAACAAACAAAUAUCUCCGAGGAUGCUUUAAGGCUAAGGAUUUUUCCCUUCUCUACACGGGGGAAAGCCGUAGAUUGGUUGGAACAUUUGCCAAACCAUUCCAUUCAUACUUGGGAUGAAUUGGUGGAGAAAUUUAUUUCUAAGUAUUUGUCUCCCGGGCACAUGGCCAUACUUCGGGAUGAAAUUCUAGCAUUCAAGCAUGAACCCAAUGAACCAUUACACGAGAUAUGGGAACGAUAUAAAAUAAUGGUUAAAGAGUGUCCUAACAACGAUAUGAAGGAGAAUAUGAUUCAACAAACCUUCUAUUGGGGGAUCAACAUAACCAACCAAUGUGUAGUGAAUAAACUUGCUAGUGGGAACUUCAUGACUAUACCUUAUGCGGAGGCGUGUGAAUUUUGGAUGAGAUGGCGGACACUUCUUUGGCGUGGCAAUCCCGAGCUAAUGUUUCACAAGGUGAUCCCAAUGUGAUUCACCUUAACAAAUAAUUGUAUGAACAUGGGCAAGCCAUAGGUGAAUUGACUACCACCAUGAACCAAUUGGCAAAAGCUCAACUUCAACAAGUGCAAAACUCGAGGCAAGUCAAUGCAAUGGAAGGGGUCCAUAAGUGCAACAAAGAGUGGAUAAUUUUGUGCAAGAAGAUAGUGGGUUUGAUCAAGAUAACUCUUAUAAUGACCAACAAGAAGAGGUCCAAUAUGUGAAUAACUUUCAAAGGCAAAGAAACAACUUCCAAGGCCCAAGACAACAACAAGGGCGACCUCAAAACAAUCAAGGAAAUUGGAAUUCUCACAACCAAGGUAAUUGGAGUGGUGGAAACAAUCAAAGCAAUUGGAAAAACAACAACAAUCAAGGAAGUUGGAGUGGCGGCAAUAAUCAAGGGAAUUGGCAUAACAACAAUAACCAAGGCAAUUGGGGAGGCAACAAUCAAGGCGGUUGGAGUAACAAUCAAGGAAAUCGGGGGUCGAGGUUUCAAAGGACCCCGAUGAAUCAACAAACAAUCAAACCGCCUCCUUAUCCUUCCCUUGGACAUAACUCUUCCAACAAUGAAAUGGGACGUAUUGAGAACAUGUUCAAGAAAAUGAUGGAGAAGAAUGCCGAUUCUAAUGCCCAAAUUGCCUCACACAGCACAUCGAUCCGCAACUUAGAAGUGCAAAUGGGAAAAAUCUCUCAAGCUCUAAAUUCUCAUCCUAAGGGGGCACUACCAAGUGACACGGUGGUGAACCCAAAGGGUGGGAACAACACGGGGCAUGCCAUGGACGUUACUACAAGAAGUGGAAAAGGUGGGAAUGCACCCACCUCGUGUCAAAGGCAACUUGCGGAUGAUGAGCAAGUGGUACAAGAAGAAGAGAUCCCGAGCAAUGUGAUGCAAUUAAAUGAUGAAGUUCGGAUUGAUAUUGAUGACAAUGUGGAAGAGACUCAAGAGGAAUUAAACCCGUCUAGGGAUCAUAUUAUUGACAUACUGGAAAUGAUAGUGCAAAAGGCUAAGGUUCCAGUGCCCAAGUCUCCUCCUUCGUAUCCUCAAAGUCUUGCCAAGAAAAAUGGCGAGAAUCAAUUCAAAAAGAUCAUUGACAUGAUGAAGAGUCUCUCGAUAAAUGUGCCAUUAGUUGAAGCCUUGGAACAAAUGCCCGGUUAUACAAAGUUUAUGAAGGAUUUGGUGACAAAAAAGCGGUCGAUGAAUUUUAAAACUAUCAAAGUCACUCAUCAAGUGAGUGCAAUUAUGCAUUCAAUGGCUCCUAAAAUGGAAGAUCCCGGUGCUUUCACAAUCCCUUGUACCAUUGGAAGUGUCAAUUUUGCUAAAGCUCUAUUCGAUUUUCAAGACUUUGGGAAUUGGGAAACCAAGACCCACAUCUAUGAGAUUACAAAUGGUCAAUCGUACCAUGAAGAGACCGUUAGGAGUGAUUGAAGAUGUAUUGGUUCGUAUUGAUAAAUUCAUUCUUCCGGUGGAUUUUGCCAUUCUUGAUUGUGAAGUGGACUAUGAGGUGCCGAUUAUUCUUAGAAUACCUUUCCUUACUAUGAGGAAGGCUCUUGUUGAUGUGGAAGAUACUCACUUUUUGGGUGGGUGAUAAAAAGGUGGUAUUCCACUUGUUCAAAUCAAUGAGGCAACCAAAUAGCAAUGAAGUGUGUUCUUUCAUACACUUGGUGACCGAUGUGAUUGUUGAUGACACAAGCGCCACGAUUAAUGUGGGUGAUAUGUUGGAGGCCGUCUUGCUCAACUUUGAUGAUGACGAGAUGGAUGGCUUCAUGGAAUAUGUGAAUCUUUGCAAGGGAUGGGGUCGUACAACUAUGCACCCCGAAAACUUUCCUUAGAUCUUGAAAGUAGUAAAACUCCUCCUACAAAGCCUUCAAUUGAAGAGCCUCCUACCUUGGAGUUGAAGCCAUUGCCUCCACAUCUUUGGUAUAAAUUCCUUGGCCCUUGUUCUACUUUACCGGUUAUUCUUUCCUCUUGUUUGACUAACGUGCAGGUUGACUCUACAUUGACGGUGCUCCACAAGAGGAAGAAGGCUAUUAAGUGGACUUUGGAGGAUAUUCGGGGAAUAAGUCUCUCAUUUUGCAUGCACAAGAUUAACUUGGAGGAAGAUGCCAAACCAUCUAUUGAACAUCAAAGGAGACUCACUAAGGCUAUGCAAGACGUGGUCAAAAAGGAGAUUAUCAAGUGGUUGGAUGUCGGGGUUGUCUACCCCAUUUCUGAUAGUUCAUGGACUUCUCCGGUGCAAUGUGUCCCAAAGAAGAGGGGCAUAACGGUGGUCACCAACGACAAGAAUGAGUUGAUUCCCACAAGAACUGUGACCGGGUGGAGAGUGUGUAUGGACUAUCGCAAGCUAAACAAAGUCACAAGGAAGGAUCAUUUUCCACUUCCCUUCCUUGACCAAAUGCUUGAUAGGUUAGCCAGACAUGAUUUCUAUUGCUAUUUGGAUGGAUAUUCGGGCUACAACCAAAUCCUUAUUGCUCCGGAGGAUCAAGAGAAAACAACUUUUAUAUGUCCCUAUGGUACUUUUACCUUCAAGCAGAUGCUAUUUGGUCUAUGUAAUGCAUCGACAACUUUUCAAAUGUGUAUGAUGGAGAUCUUCAUGGAUAUGGUAGAGUACUACCUUGAAUGUUUAAUGGAUGACUUCUCGGUGGUUGGUGAUUCCUUUGAUGAUUGCUUGGCAAAUUUGGAUAGAGUAUUGGCAAGUUGUGAAGAAACAAACUUGGUGCUAAAUUGGGAGAAAUACAAUUUCAUGGUCUAGGAAGGCAUUGUCUUUGGCCACAAUAUCUCAAAGAAUGGCAUAGAAGUCGACAAGGAAAAGAUUGAGGUGAUUUCUAAACUUCCACCUCCGACUUCGGUGAAAGGCGUGUAGUGUUUCUUAGGCCACGCGGGGUUUUACCGGCGCUUCAUCAAGGAUUUUUCUAAAGUGGCAAAUCUAUUGUGCAAGCUCUUAGAGAAAGAUGUGAAGUUUCACGUCAAUGAUGAUUACAUGAGAGCCUAUGAAUUUCUAAAGUUCAAGUUGAGAACAACUCCCAUUAUCACCGCUUCUAAUUGGAGUAUCCCUUUUGAGCUCAUGUGUGAUGCUAGUGACGUAACAGUUGGGGUUGUUUUGGGGCAACACAUCAACAAUAUUUUUCAUCUGAUCUACUAUGCUAGUAAAACCAUGAAUGGUGCCCAAGUCAACUGCACCGUUAUAGAGAAAGAGCUCCUUGCCAUUGUGUUUGCAAUUGAGAAAUAUCGCCCGUAAUUGAUGGGUGCAAAGGUUAUUGUUCAUAAGGAUCAUGCAACACUUCGCUAUCUUAUGAGCAAGAAAGAUUCAAAAGCUCGGUUGAUGUGAUGGGUGCUAUUGUUACAAGAGUUUGAUAUUGACAUCCAAGAUCGAAAAAGGAGUGAAAACCAAGUAGCGGGCCACUUGUCUCGUUUGGAGGAGGGGGGAGUCUGCAUGAUGGACUUUAAAUCAAUGACUCCUUCCCCGAUGAGAAACUCUUGUCUAUUUCAAUGAAUGAGAUGCCAUGGUUCGUGGAUCUAGCAAACUUCUUGUGUGUGGCAUCAUCCCGGAUGAGUUCUCUUCAAAUCAAAGAAAGAAGCUCAAACAGUAUUAUCAAUAUUAUUAUUGGGAUAAGACAUACCUCUUCCGAAUUUGCAAGGAUGGGGUAAUUAGAAGAUGUGUCCCGGAAGAAGAGCAGAGUGAUAUUCUUGAGACCUCUUCGCCUUAUGGUGGUCACUAUGGCAGAGCAAGAACGGCAUCCAAAGUGCUAAGUUGCAGUUUCUAUUGGCCCACCCUUUACAAAGAUGCAAGUGAUAUGGUGAAAAGAUGUGAUGAAUGUCAACGGGCCGGGGGAAUCUCGAAGAAGAAUGAAAUGCCUCUCACUACCAUUUUAGAGAUUAAUAUCUUUGAUGUGUGGGGUAUUGACUUCAUGGGGCCCUUUGUGAGCUCUUGUGGAGACACCUAAAUCUUGGUAGCGGUUGAUUAUGUGUCUAAGUAGGUUGAAGCCAUUGCUCUACCCAACAAUGAAGCGAGAAGUGUGGUGGCAUUCUUGAAGAAGAAUAUUUUCACAAGGUUUGGUACUCUGCGGGCUAUCAUAAUCGAUGAGGGGUCACAUAUUUGCAACAAGACUUUUGACACUUUGCUUAGCAAGUAUGGUGUCACUCAUAAAGUUAUGACUCCCUAUCAUCUGCAAGAUAGCGGUCAAGGGGAAAGUCUCGUAAACUAGGAGAUAAAAGAGUAUUUGUCCAAAAAUAGUGAAAUGCUAAACGGACGGANNNNNNNNNNNNNNNNNNNNNNNNNACAUAUUUGCAACAAGACUUUUGACACUUUGCUUAGCAAGUAUGGUGUCACUCAUAAAGUUAUGACUCCCUAUCAUCUGCAAGAUAGCGGUCAAGGGAAAGUCUCUAACUAGGAGAUAAAGAGUAUUUUGUCCAAAAUAGUGAAUGCUAACCGGACGGAUUUAUCAAAGAAGCUUGAUGAUUCAUUAUGGGCUUAUAGUACUUCUUUCAAAACUCCUAUCAGAAUGUCUCCAUACUGGUUGGUAUUCGGCAAAGCUUGUCAUCUUAUGGUGGAACUUGAGAACAAAGCCAUGUGGGCUCUAAAGAAGUUGAAUCUUGAUUGGGAUGCAGCCGGUAACUUGAGGGUCGCACAUUUGAAUGAAUUGGAUAAGUUUCGGUACCAUGCCUACGCAAGUUCGUCCUUGUACAAAAAUAAGAUGAAGUACCUUCAUGACAAAUACAUUCGGAAUAAGGAGUUCAAGGUGGGCGAUCUUGUGCUGUUAUUCAACUCACGAAAAGCUGAAAUCUAAAUGGAGUGGUCCCUUUGAAAUUGUAGGUGUGACACCUUUUGGUGCAUCGGACUUGAAGAACAAAAACAAUGAAGUAUUCCAGGUCAAUGGUCACCGGGUGAAGCACUAUUUGGGAAAGGUUGAUGAAGGCCACGUUGUGGCGGUGAUUAAUUUAAAAUGAUGGUAAUCUGUGUCGUGCUGCGACGUUAAAUCAGGUGCUUCUUGGGAGGCAACCCAUGUUUCUUUUUCUUUUCUUUUCUUCUUUUGUAGAUAGGUGUUAUUUUUGUGCUAACUGGAUUUGAAGUGUGUUUUAGGGAUGAAUGUACUUUACAAAAUUGUGCAAAGAUUGGCUAAGUGUGGAAUGAAUUGUGGACCACAAUUGUAUUAUGCAGACCGCACAAUUUUUGUUGCUGCAGCAAAAGGUUCUCUGCGUCCGCACAAAUACAUUGAAGACCGCACAAAUUGCAGGUG